Molecule: ribosomal RNA, 631 nt
Filed under: uncultured organism
Description: bacterial SSU rRNA
Rfam family: Bacterial small subunit ribosomal RNA
Source: RNAcentral
AGUCAGGUGUCAAAGCCGUCAGCUUAACUGAGAAAUUGCGCCCGAUACUGUUCAGCUUGAGUGUGACAUACGUGAGCGGAACUUGCGGUGGAGCGGCUAAAUGCGUUGAUAUUGCAAGGAACACCAGUAGCGAAAGCGGCUCACGGGGUCUCUUCUGACGCUGAGGCCCGAAACCUAGGGUAGCGUAGAGGAUUAGAUACCCUCGUAGUCCUAGUUGUAAACGCUGAGCACUGGAUUGGAGGGUCCUCCAUAGCCUUCCGGUAGUUGCGAAAGUGUUAAGUGCUUCGCCUUCCGAGUAUGGUCGCCGGGCUCAAACUCAAAGGAAUUGACGUGCGGUCCCACAACCGGUGGAGGAUGUGGCUUAAUUUGAGGCUACGACGAAGAACCUUAUCCUGGAUUUGUCAUGCUUGUAGAAUCCCCUGGAAACAGAGGAGUGCCCUUCUCGGAGCCCUUGCACAGGUGCUGCAUGGCUGUCGUCAGCUCGUGUCGUGAGAUGUCGGGUUAAGUCCCUUAACGAGCGAAACCCUUGUCGUUUGUUGCCAGCGGGUCAUGCCGGGGACUCUAACGAGACUCCCGGUGUUAAACCGGAGGAAGGUGGGGAUGACGUCAAGUCCUCAUGUCCUUUAUAUCC